GUGUUCUGUAAUAACAUGCCUGAAUCAGAGUUGGGAAGAUGGAGCAUGGGAUGAGGACAAAGGAGAGAAGUCCAGAGGCUGGCUAGAGAUGGUCUAUUCAGACACACCUGGUGGUCUCACCCUCUGCUCCCCAUACAUGAGGCUGAGGUCCCUGCACACCCAACCCUGGAAUUGGAGCUGGAGCUCACCCUCCCUGCAGGGAUGCCGGCUUUCAGGGCCCUGCCUCCAGUCCAGUACUGUGAGUAGCUUCUCUGUCCGCUCUCCUGGAUGGCUUCUUCUGGGGACAGCUUGGGGCCCUAACUUGCCCAUUUCCCAGAAUCCUUCCUGCAACCAACUUGAGAGUUAAGGUAGCUCAGGGUGGUUAAAGGUU
Molecule: long non-coding RNA, 370 nt
Filed under: Homo sapiens (human)
Lineage: Eukaryota; Metazoa; Chordata; Mammalia; Primates; Hominidae
Description: HSALNT0267090
Source: RNAcentral